This 429-nucleotide ribosomal RNA is filed under the name Verrucomicrobiota bacterium. Its description in RNAcentral is "Verrucomicrobia bacterium partial 16S ribosomal RNA". It matches the Rfam family "Bacterial small subunit ribosomal RNA", at positions 355 to 776 of the family's 1533-position model. Lineage: Bacteria; Pseudomonadati; Verrucomicrobiota. The record is from RNAcentral.
UAGGGAAUCUUCGGCAAUGGGGGGAACCCUGACCGAGCAACGCCGCGUGAGUGAAGAAGGUUUUCGGAUCGUAAAGCUCUGUUGUUAAGGAAGAACGAGUGUGAGAAUGGAAAGUUCAUGCUGUGACGGUACUUAACCAGAAAGGGACGGCUAACUACGUGCCAGCAUCCGCGGUAAUACGUAGGUCCCGAGCGUUGUCCGGAUUUAUUGGGCGUAAAGCGAGCGCAGGCGGUUAGAAAAGUCUGAAGUGAAAGGCAGUGGCUCAACCAGUGUGGACUUUGGAAGCUGGUUAACUUGAGUGCAGAAGGGGAGAGUGGAAGUCCAUGUGUAGCGGUGAGAGGCGUAGGUAUAUGGAGGAACACCGGUGGCGAAAGCGGCUCUCUGGUCUGUAACUGACGCUGAGGCUCGAAAGCGUGGGGAGCGAACAGG